GAUGAAAUGGCUGAAGUUUAGGUAAUAAAUUGUAAAUUUAUUUAUGAAAAGUAUUUUUCUUUCAUCA
RNAcentral lists this transfer RNA (67 nucleotides) under Ips nitidus. Its description in RNAcentral is "tRNA-Tyr". Lineage: Eukaryota; Metazoa; Arthropoda; Insecta; Coleoptera; Curculionidae. The record is from RNAcentral.